UUAUUCAAGGUUAGAGUGGGGUGCUCAUUUUCGCCACAUCUUUCCAUGUUUUCUACAGUUUAUGUUCAGGUCAAAAUGUUUUUGAAGUAUACUGAUAUUUCUAUAUGAAGAUAACUUCAAAUGCAAAAUAUGCCUAAGCUUGAAACCGGUUUGUUUUAAGAAAAUCAUCUGAAAAGUUAGAUUAAAGGGUGUUUGAAAUUUCCGGAUGUUUUGUCAAUGGGGGACACAUAUUCGCCGUUUUUACACAUCUAUUUAAAACCAAAUAACCGCAGCUUUUAACAAUUUUUAUCAAAUCAAUUGCAUUAUAGAUGAAUAGCAGAUAUUUCAAAGGUAUAAAGAAUUCAAAAUUAGGGCAUUCAGUCAAAUAUUUACUUAGAAAUACUUCUUUGAAAUCGUGUUUUUUAUUCAGGAAAUUGUCCGAAAAUCGUUGUCCGUUUUUCGGUCAUUUUCGGUAGGAGCCGCAAUUUUGUCUCAGUUUAAAAAAAUAUUAUAUUUGUUAUAAAAAUAUUAUUUACGGGUACAUUUCUUCCAUUUCAGCCAUCCUUUGAAGUUUUUACACCUCAAAAUCCUUAAACGGCGAAAUUGUGUCCCCGGCGAAAAUGAGCACCCCACUCUAUAGG
RNAcentral lists this long non-coding RNA (620 nucleotides) under Mytilus galloprovincialis (Mediterranean mussel). Lineage: Eukaryota; Metazoa; Mollusca; Bivalvia; Mytilida; Mytilidae. The record is from RNAcentral.